AGAGUUUUAUCCUGGCUCAGGAUGAACGCUAGCGGCAGGCCUAACACAUGCAAGUCGAGGGGCAGCGGGGGUGAAGGCAACUUUACCCGCCGGCGACCGGCGCACGGGUGAGUAACGCGUAUGGAACCUGCCCGCCACAGGGGAAUAAUCGGGAGAAAUCCCGUCUAAAGCCCCGUAUGCCCACGAGUCCGCAUGGACUUGCGGGGAAACCUUCGGGGGUGGCGGAUGGCCAUGCGUCGCAUUAGCUAGUUGGCGGGGCAACGGCCCACCAAGGCGACGAUGCGUAGGGGUUCUGAGAGGAAGGUCCCCCACAUUGGUACUGAGACACGGGCCAAACUCCUACGGGAGGCAGCAGUGAGGAAUAUUGGUCAAUGGGCGGGAGCCUGAACCAGCCAAGCCGCGUGAGGGAAGACGGUCCUGCGGAUUGUAAACCUCUUUUGUCGGGGAACAACGGGCGCCACGUGUGGCGCAUUGAGGGUACCCGAAGAAAAAGCAUCGGCUAACUCCGUGCCAGCAGCCGCGGUAAUACGGAGGAUGCGAGCGUUAUCCGGAUUUAUUGGGUUUAAAGGGUGCGCAGGCGGUCUUUCAAGUCGGCGGUCAAAUUUCGGGGCCCAACCCCGACCUGCCGUCGAAACUGAGAGGCUGGAGUUCGGCAGAGGCUGGCGGAAUGUGCGGUGUAGCGGUGAAAUGCAUAGAUAUCGCGCAGAACUCCGUUUGCGAAGGCGGCCAGCCAUGCCUGGACUGACGCUGAGGCACGAAAGUGUGGGUAUCGAACAGGAUUAGAUACCCUGGUAGUCCACACAGUAAACGAUGAAUACUUGCUGUCCGGGCCGAAUGGGGCCUGGGUGGCGCAGCGAAAGCGUUAAGUAUUCCACCUGGGGAGUACGCCGGCAACGGUGAAACUCAAAGGAAUUGACGGGGGCCCGCACAAGCGGAGGAACAUGUGGUUUAAUUCGAUGAUACGCGAGGAACCUUACCCGGGCUCAAACGCAGGGGGACAGCCGGUGAAAGCCGGUUUCCGGCAACGGCCGCCUGCGAGGUGCUGCAUGGUUGUCGUCAGCUCGUGCCGUGAGGUGUCGGCUUAAGUGCCAUAACGAGCGCAACCCCCGUCUCCGGUUGCUAACGGGUAGAGCCGAGGACUCCGGAGAGACUGCCGGCGCAAGCUGCGAGGAAGGCGGGGAUGACGUCAAAUCAGCACGGCCCUUACGUCCGGGGCGACACACGUGUUACAAUGGCGGGGCACAGCGGGGUGCUGGUCGGCGACGGCCGGCGGAUCCCGAAAACCCGUCUCAGUUCGGAUUGGAGUCUGCAACCCGACUCCAUGAAGCUGGAUUCGCUAGUAAUCGCGCAUCAGCCACGGCGCGGUGAAUACGUUCCCGGGCCUUGCACACCCGCCCGUCA
Molecule: ribosomal RNA, 1401 nt
Filed under: uncultured bacterium
Lineage: Bacteria
Description: 16S ribosomal RNA
Rfam family: Bacterial small subunit ribosomal RNA
Source: RNAcentral